This 553-nucleotide ribosomal RNA is filed under the name Bacillus sp. CH30_1T. RNAcentral's name for it is "bacterial SSU rRNA". It matches the Rfam family "Bacterial small subunit ribosomal RNA", at positions 1 to 535 of the family's 1533-position model. Lineage: Bacteria; Bacillati; Bacillota; Bacilli; Caryophanales; Bacillaceae. The record is from RNAcentral.
UUAUCGGAGAGUUUGAUCCUGGCUCAGGACGAACGCUGGCGGCGUGCCUAAUACAUGCAAGUCGAGCGGAYUGAUGGGAGCUUGCUCCCAUCARUCAGCGGCGGACGGGUGAGUAACACGUGGGUAACCUGCCUGUAAGACUGGGAUAACUCCGGGAAACCGGGGCUAAUACCGGAUAACUCAUUUCYUCGCAUGAGGAAAUGUUGAAAGGUGGCUUUUAGCUAUCACUUACAGAUGGACCCGCGGCGCAUUAGCUAGUUGGUGAGGUAACGGCUCACCAAGGCGACGAUGCGUAGCCGACCUGAGAGGGUGAUCGGCCACACUGGGACUGAGACACGGCCCAGACUCCUACGGGAGGCAGCAGUAGGGAAUCUUCCGCAAUGGACGAAAGUCUGACGGAGCAACGCCGCGUGAGUGAUGAAGGUUUUCGGAUCGUAAAACUCUGUUGUUAGGGAAGAACAAGUACCGUUCGAAUAGGGCGGUACCUUGACGGUACCUAACCAGAAAGCCACGGCUAACUACGUGCCAGCAGCCGCGGUAAUACGUAGGUGGC